UGGUGGAGUCACUCAGAAUUGAACUGAGUUCCACUGCUUGCAAGGCAGUAAGUUUAACCAAAUAACCUAUGACCCC
This 76-nucleotide transfer RNA is filed under the name Salmonella phage Stitch. RNAcentral's name for it is "tRNA-Ala". Lineage: Duplodnaviria; Heunggongvirae; Uroviricota; Caudoviricetes; Demerecviridae. The record is from RNAcentral.